Molecule: ribosomal RNA, 639 nt
Filed under: uncultured Rhodocyclaceae bacterium
Lineage: Bacteria; Pseudomonadati; Pseudomonadota; Betaproteobacteria; Rhodocyclales; Rhodocyclaceae
Description: bacterial SSU rRNA
Rfam family: Bacterial small subunit ribosomal RNA
Source: RNAcentral
AAACUUAAAUGAAUUGACGGGGACCCGCACAAGCGGUGGAUGAUGUGGAUUAAUUCGAUGCAACGCGAAAACCUUACCUACCCUUGACAUGUCAGGAAUUCUGCUGAGAGGUGGAAGUGCCCGAAAGGGAACCUGAACACAGGUGCUGCAUGGCUGUCGUCAGCUCGUGUCGUGAGAUGUUGGGUUAAGUCCCGCAACGAGCGCAACCCUUGUCAUUAAUUGCCAUCAUUCAGUUGGGCACUUUAAUGAGACUGCCGGUGACAAACCGGAGGAAGGUGGGGAUGACGUCAAGUCCUCAUGGCCCUUAUGGGUAGGGCUUCACACGUCAUACAAUGGUCGGUACAGAGGGUUGCCAACCCGCGAGGGGGAGCCAAUCCCACAAAGCCGAUCGUAGUCCGGAUCGCAGUCUGCAACUCGACUGCGUGAAGUCGGAAUCGCUAGUAAUCGUGGAUCAGCAUGUCACGGUGAAUACGUUCCCGGGUCUUGUACACACCGCCCGUCACACCAUGGGAGUGGGUUCCACCAGAAGUAGGUAGUCUAACCGCAAGGGGGGCGCUUACCACGGUGGGAUUCAUGACUGGGGUGAAGUCGUAACAAGGUAGCCGUAUCGGAAGGUGCGGCUGGAUCACCUCCUUUCUG